This 451-nucleotide ribosomal RNA is filed under the name uncultured bacterium. Its description in RNAcentral is "bacterial SSU rRNA". It matches the Rfam family "Bacterial small subunit ribosomal RNA", at positions 354 to 796 of the family's 1533-position model. The record is from RNAcentral.
GUGAGGAAUAUUGCGCAAUGGGGGCAACCCUGACGCAGCAACGCCGCGUGGGUGAAGAAGGCUUUCGGGUUGUAAAGCCCUGUCAGGUGGGAAGAAACCUCUUGAGGUGAAUAGUCUCGAGAGCUGACGGUACCACCAGAGGAAGCACCGGCUAACUCCGUGCCAGCAGCCGCGGUAAGACGGAGGGUGCUAGCGUUGUUCGGAAUCACUGGGCGUAAAGCGCGUGUAGGCGGUUGAAUAAGUCGGAUGUGAAAGCCCGGAGCUCAACUCCGGAAGUGCAUUCGAAACUGUUCGGCUCGAGUACGGGAGAGGGAAGUGGAAUUCCUGGUGUAGAGGUGAAAUUCGUAGAUAUCAGGAGGAACACCGGUGGCGAAGGCGGCUUCCUGGACCGAUACUGACGCUGAGACGCGAAAGCGUGGGGAGCAAACAGGAUUAGAAACCCUAGUAGUCC